RNAcentral lists this small nuclear RNA (107 nucleotides) under Schistosoma mansoni. The record is from RNAcentral. Lineage: Eukaryota; Metazoa; Platyhelminthes; Trematoda; Strigeidida; Schistosomatidae.
GUACUUGCUUCGGCGGUACAUAUACAAAAAUUGGAAUGACACAGAGACGAUAAGCAUGGCCCCUGCGCAUGGAUGACACGCAAAAUCGUGAAGCGUUCCAUAUAUUU